RNAcentral lists this ribosomal RNA (492 nucleotides) under uncultured bacterium. RNAcentral describes it as "partial 16S ribosomal RNA". It matches the Rfam family "Bacterial small subunit ribosomal RNA", at positions 29 to 507 of the family's 1533-position model. The record is from RNAcentral.
AGUGAACGCUGGCGGUAGGCCUAACACAUGCAAGUCGAACGGCAGCACAGUAAGAGCUUGCUCUUACGGGUGGCGAGUGGCGGACGGGUGAGGAAUACAUCGGAAUCUACUUUUUCGUGGGGGAUAACGUAGGGAAACUUACGCUAAUACCGCAUACGACCUACGGGUGAAAGAAGGGGAUCUUCGGACCUUGCGCGAAUGAAUGAGCCGAUGUCGGAUUAGCUAGUUGGCGGGGUAAAGGCCCACCAAGGCGACGAUCCGUAGCUGGUCUGAGAGGAUGAUCAGCCACACUGGAACUGAGACACGGUCCAGACUCCUACGGGAGGCAGCAGUGGGGAAUAUUGGACAAUGGGCGCAAGCCUGAUCCAGCCAUACCGCGUGGGUGAAGAAGGCCUUCGGGUUGUAAAGCCCUUUUGUUGGGAAAGAAAAGCAGCAGGUUAAUACCCCGCUGUUCUGACGGUACCCAAAGAAUAAGCACCGGCUAACUUCGUG